AACGACCGACCACGCGCGUUCUCUUGGUCAGUACCGAGUUCAAUGUCAAUAUCAGAGGGACCGUCGCAACCGUAGUAGACUCGCUACUAUAAUAAUAUUAAUAUUAACCGUCGUUAACCGAUUGUAAUAAUUAUAUUAUAAUAUAUUAUUAUAGUGUUGUUGUUCGACAUAGUUUUCGCGUUUCCAACCGUUCUUGGAUAUUCGACACGACCAGUAGUGCAUUCGGUAUUUAUUUUUCGAUUUCUCAAAGACCGCAGGCAGCCAUGUAUCCCAAUCCGUGGAUCAGAAAGCACUCGACCAUCAGGCAAGUGAUCGACAAACUGUUGUCGAUCAACACGAACAACACGAAGAAGUUCGACGCGGUGUUCAAAAAGAAGAAAUCCACAACGGCGGCCGGUAUGGCCAAAAGAAAGCGCUGAGGGACGUCGCCGCCGCCGCCGUUCCCAUCACAACUACAAGUUCCUAUUCGACGGAAACGACGAAGCCAAACGUUUUCAGCCGUACAAUGUGCCAUCGUCCAAAGAGAUUUCUCACAAGUUUCAUCAUUUACAUUUUCAUCGACGAUCGCCCAAGUCCGCGUGAAGUUGUUCAUUGAUGACGGUUAUGUCCUGCCUGAAUGUACCUAUUGAUCUAGUUCAUAUACUGAAACCGCUACUGACGAAUACGUGUGUCGCACGUGGAUUUUACAAAUAAGGACCUCCCGGAGUGUAAAAGGAUUCCACGUGAUACGUUCUACCAUUUCUGGAUGAAAAAAAACGUUAGAAAUCUUGCAGUUGCAGAGGAGUUGAUUUUCAUCCCCGCAAGGCUACAGGGUUGAAAUGCUGCUAACUGGACACAUACAUUUGUUUUUUAUUUCAAAUGUAUUCUAGAGGAUACUAUUUUUAUUUGUAUUACUAGUAUUAUUAUACACGUGUAUGUGUGUUUUUUUUAUUUAUUUAUUAUUGUGUAUUAUUAUCUAUUGUAUAAAUUCGAACAAUUUUUUUACUGUGACACUUUUUUUUAUAUAAAAUAAAUAUGAUAAAAAUCAUUUGAUAUUAUAAUGUU
This is a long non-coding RNA of Adelges cooleyi (spruce gall adelgid), 1044 nucleotides long. RefSeq lists it as uncharacterized. The record is from RefSeq and is a predicted model, not a curated record. The transcript is spliced from 3 exons. NCBI's taxonomy places the organism in Eukaryota, Metazoa, Arthropoda, Insecta, Hemiptera, Adelgidae.